This 460-nucleotide ribosomal RNA is filed under the name uncultured bacterium. Its description in RNAcentral is "partial 16S ribosomal RNA". It matches the Rfam family "Bacterial small subunit ribosomal RNA", at positions 338 to 795 of the family's 1533-position model. The record is from RNAcentral.
CCUACGGGAGGCAGCAGUGAGGAAUAUUGGUCAAUGGACGAGAGUCUGAACCAGCCAAGUAGCGUGAAGGAUGAAUGCCCUAUGGGUUGUAAACUUCUUUUAUAAAGGAAUAAAACGAGGCACGUGUGCCUGUUUGCAUGUACUUUAUGAAUAAGGAUCGGCUAACUCCGUGCCAGCAGCCGCGGUAAUACGGAGGAUCCGAGCGUUAUCCGGAUUUAUUGGGUUUAAAGGGAGCGUAGGUGGGUUGUUAAGUCAGAUGGGAAAGUUUGCGGCUCAACCGUAAAAUUGCAAUUGAUACUGGCAGUCUUGAGUACAGUUGAGGUAGGCGGAAUUCGUGGUGUAGCGGUGAAAUGCUUAGAUAUCACGCAGAACCCCGAUUGCGAAGGCAGCUUACUAAACUGUGACUGACGUUGAUGCUCGAAAGUGUGGGUAUCAAACAGGAUUAGAUACCCUUGUAGUC